RNAcentral lists this ribosomal RNA (254 nucleotides) under uncultured bacterium. Its description in RNAcentral is "partial 16S ribosomal RNA". It matches the Rfam family "Bacterial small subunit ribosomal RNA", at positions 524 to 776 of the family's 1533-position model. The record is from RNAcentral.
GACGAAGGGGGCUAGCGUUGUUCGGAAUUACUGGGCGUAAAGCGAGUGUAGGUGGUUGUCCAAGUUGGAUGUGAAAGCCUUGAGCUCAACUCAAGAAAUGCAUUCAGGACUGGGCGACUAGAGGACCGGAGAGGAUAGUGGAAUUCCCAGUGUAGUGGUGAAAUACGUAAGAGAUUGGGAAGAACACCAGUGGCGAAGGCGGCUCGCUGGACCUUUUCUGACGCUGAGGCGCGAAAGCUAGGGGAGCAAACGGG